Molecule: ribosomal RNA, 422 nt
Filed under: Campylobacter jejuni
Lineage: Bacteria; Pseudomonadati; Campylobacterota; Epsilonproteobacteria; Campylobacterales; Campylobacteraceae
Description: bacterial SSU rRNA
Rfam family: Bacterial small subunit ribosomal RNA
Source: RNAcentral
UGGCUCAGAGUGAACGCUGGCGGCGUGCCUAAUACAUGCAAGUCGAACGAUGAAGCUUCUAGCUUGCUAGAAGUGGAUUAGUGGCGCACGGGUGAGUAAGGUAUAGUUAAUCUGCCCUACACAAGAGGACAACAGUUGGAAACGACUGCUAAUACUCUAUACUCCUGCUUAACACAAGUUGAGUAGGGAAAGUUUUUCGGUGUAGGAUGAGACUAUAUAGUAUCAGCUAGUUGGUAAGGUAAUGGCUUACCAAGGCUAUGACGCUUAACUGGUCUGAGAGGAUGAUCAGUCACACUGGAACUGAGACACGGUCCAGACUCCUACGGGAGGCAGCAGUAGGGAAUAUUGCGCAAUGGGGGAAACCCUGACGCAGCAACGCCGCGUGGAGGAUGACACUUUUCGGAGCGUAAACUCCUUUUCUU